Molecule: non-coding RNA, 20 nt
Filed under: Arabidopsis thaliana (thale cress)
Lineage: Eukaryota; Viridiplantae; Streptophyta; Magnoliopsida; Brassicales; Brassicaceae
Source: RNAcentral
CACCGCAACAGAGACUCUCA